UACGGGGGGGGCAAGCGUUGUUCGGAAUUACUGGGCGUAAAGGGCUCGUAGGCGGCCAACUAAGUCGGAUGUGAAAUCCCCAGGCUUAACCUGGGAACUGCAUCCGAUACUGGAUGGCUUGAAUCCGGGAGAGGGAUGCAGAAUUCCAGGUGUAGCGGUGAAAUGCGUAGAUAUCUGGAGGAAUACCGGUGGCGAAGGCGGCAUCCUGGACCGGCAUUGACGCUGAGGAGCGAAAGCUAGGGGAGCAGACGGG
RNAcentral lists this ribosomal RNA (253 nucleotides) under uncultured bacterium. RNAcentral describes it as "partial 16S ribosomal RNA". It matches the Rfam family "Bacterial small subunit ribosomal RNA", at positions 524 to 776 of the family's 1533-position model. The record is from RNAcentral.